CAGCCGGCCGCGGGAAUACGGAGGGUGCAAGCGUUAAUCGGAAUUACUGGGCGUAAAGCGCGCGUAGGUGGUUUGUUAAGUUGGAUGUGAAAUCCCCGGGCUCAACCUGGGAACUGCAUUCAAAACUGACUGACUAGAGUAUGGUAGAGGGUGGUGGAAUUUCCUGUGUAGCGGUGAAAUGCGUAGAUAUAGGAAGGAACACCAGUGGCGAAGGCGACCACCUGGACUAAUACUGACACUGAGGUGCGAAAGCGUGGGGAGCAAACAGGAUUAGAUACCCGUGUAGUCCCUGUCUCUUAUU
RNAcentral lists this ribosomal RNA (301 nucleotides) under uncultured bacterium. RNAcentral's name for it is "partial 16S ribosomal RNA". It matches the Rfam family "Bacterial small subunit ribosomal RNA", at positions 509 to 808 of the family's 1533-position model. The record is from RNAcentral.